RNAcentral lists this ribosomal RNA (92 nucleotides) under uncultured Gammaproteobacteria bacterium. RNAcentral's name for it is "partial 16S ribosomal RNA". The record is from RNAcentral. Lineage: Bacteria; Pseudomonadati; Pseudomonadota; Gammaproteobacteria.
UGACCAGCAAUGCCGCGUGUGUGAUGAAGGCCUUCGGGUUGUAAACCUCUUUCGGCGGGGAAGAAAAGCUCGGGAUUAAUACUUCUGAGUCU